RNAcentral lists this long non-coding RNA (858 nucleotides) under Rattus norvegicus (Norway rat). RNAcentral's name for it is "long non-coding RNA NONRATT003666". The record is from RNAcentral. Lineage: Eukaryota; Metazoa; Chordata; Mammalia; Rodentia; Muridae.
GCAAAGGGUUACCUUCCAGUUCAACCUUCACCUUGGAAGAGGGGACCAUCUACCUGACUGCUGAGCCAAACGCCCUGGAAACGCAGGAUGACGCCUCCGUGCUGGAUGUCUAUUUAUAAGUGAAAGUGGUAACCACCUGAGCACAGGAAUGGGACCUGAACACAACUAUGGGAGAGAACUUCCCCCACUGCAGAAUUCUUCAGAAGAGCUGGGCCGAACCCCAGCACACAUAGUGAGAAUCAGCAGGACCUUGAAGCUUGCGAGAUGUCGGGGAGCCUGGGUCCAUGGCCCGUCAGCAGAUGGAUGUGAAAAGCCCACACCGUUCUGUGGGUGCUGUUGCUUGCUGACUGUGAAGAACUGCAUGAACUCUGUCUAAGCUGCUUUUCUCUACCAUUGCUGAUCACCCCCUUGGACUGGGAAGUGCUGUUUCCCCAUAGGCUCUCUCGGUGUUUCAUUCUGCAUGCAUAGAGUAAUUACAAAUAAGCAACCUAUGGAACCUGCUUCUAUAUUUUUUAAAAAUCCAUCCAUGCCAAAUGAUGAAUAAGAUAUAAAUCCUCUCUCUUUGUUUCAGAGAUUCGAAUCAUAACAAGCUUCGAUCUGUUUUCCUUUCAAGAUCAGUAUAAUAGGUCUGCCUUUCCUUUAUAGAAAGCUAGCUUCUAUAAAGAUUUUUUUCACUGUUUACUAGUGAAGUGAGAAAAGCAAAGCUGUUUAUAAAAGGCCUUAUGUCUUGUAUAUACAUUGUCUUUGAAAAUAUUUGUGAUUUAGUUUAUUGCUCGUAAAAGAGAAAUUAUAUAAUUUAUUUAGUAAAUACGACUGUAAACUAUAGUUUUAUUGAAAGAAAUAAAAUAUUUUGUUCUC